UGAAGGGGGGAAUCGGAGGGCUGAUGAUGUGGAGGAGGCCGAGUCGCUGGGCGCUUUCGGGGCGCUGUGCCCGGAGGCUCAGGCCAGGGGACCGGGAACCUUGGUUAGAGGCGGCCGCGGAGGCUGCAGGAGCCCACACAGGUCCUGCUUUCUUGGCGAGUCCUGCUGCCCGCGACUGAAGGCAAUUGACUUCCAUCCGCAAUCUCAGCUCCAAACGCCUUGCUUUAGAAGCUGGGGGAGCCGUCCCUGGGGGAGCGGGUGGCAGGCUGUGAGGCUCCCGCGCCCCCUCUGAUUCCUGCACAGUGCCCAAGGGAGAGUGUGCUAGAAAUGGCUUGGCUGCCGAAUGCAUUAUCUUGCCAUUUUCGUAUCCCGAUACCGCACAAACGAUCGCCUGAUCGAUCGGAACUAGGAGGGAAAGGUAGAGUGGAAAUUGAUUUCUGGCAGAGACUGAGGCGCCGAAUGAUAGAGGGAAUAAACAUUUGCCCUGGAUAAAAAUGUUCUUGGCUGUAUUCCAGCCCUAACGAUGUCCUAGAGCAGAAGUUUUUCUUCAGUCGUCUCAUUUUACCAAAAGGAUGAUCUCUGUGUAUGUCUCUGUGUUUUACAGAGGCUGACAAGCCUGUUAUGGGAAUCUUAGCUCCAUCCAUCCAUAAGGAGGAUGAAUAUCCUGAAUUACAGUCAUCACAAAUACAAUCUUAGCAGUUGUAAUAUAUAGAGAACAUACUUUUCAUGUAAGAUCUCAAUAUGCUGCCUAAACCUACUUACCUAAACUACUGUUCAAAGAAAUACAGUUUUUUGCUGAGGACAAAACUUGACAAAUUAAAAGAUGUAAGAUUAAAAUUUUUGUUUUUUAUUUAAUUAAUUUUUUUAAUGUGGAAGACUCCCCCUGAGGUAACAUCUGUUGCCA
This is a long non-coding RNA of Equus caballus (horse), 904 nucleotides long. RefSeq lists it as uncharacterized. NCBI's taxonomy places the organism in Eukaryota, Metazoa, Chordata, Mammalia, Perissodactyla, Equidae. The record is from RefSeq and is a predicted model, not a curated record.